UAUCAUGGCUCAGGGAUGAACGCUAGCUACAGGCCUAACACAUGCAAGUCGCGGGGCAGCAUGUAUCUGGCUUGCCAGAUACGAUGGCGACCGGCGCACGGGUGAGUAACGCGUAUCCAACCUGCCCAUAACCACGGCACAGCCCGUCGAAAGGCGGAUUAAUGCCGUAUGAGGUUCCGGCGUAGCAUUAUGAUGGAACGAAAGGAUUGGCGGUUAUGGAUGGGGGAUGCGUCCGAUUAGCUUGUUGGCGGGGUAACGGCCCACCAAGGCAACGAUCGGUAGGGGUUCUGAGAGGAAGGUCCCCCACAUUGGAACUGAGACACGGUCCAAACUCCUACGGGAGGCAGCAGUGAGGAAUAUUGGUCAAUGGGCGAGAGCCUGAACCAGCCAAGUAGCGUGCAGGACGACGGCCCUAUGGGUUGUAAACUGCUUUUAUAAGGGAAUAAAGUGAGUCUCGUGAGACUUUUUGCAUGUACCUUAUGAAUAAGGACCGGCUAAUUCCGUG
RNAcentral lists this ribosomal RNA (505 nucleotides) under uncultured bacterium. Its description in RNAcentral is "bacterial SSU rRNA". It matches the Rfam family "Bacterial small subunit ribosomal RNA", at positions 15 to 507 of the family's 1533-position model. The record is from RNAcentral.